This 72-nucleotide transfer RNA is filed under the name Camelus bactrianus (Bactrian camel). It matches the Rfam family "tRNA". From Rfam's summary of the family: Transfer RNA (tRNA) molecules are approximately 80 nucleotides in length. Their secondary structure includes four short double-helical elements and three loops (D, anti-codon, and T loops). The record is from Rfam by way of RNAcentral. Lineage: Eukaryota; Metazoa; Chordata; Mammalia; Artiodactyla; Camelidae. RNAcentral also lists the same sequence under 3 other names.
GAGGGUGUAGCUCAGUGGUAGAAAGCAUGCUUAGCAUGCAUGAGGUCAUGGGUUCAAUCCUCAGUACCUCCA